RNAcentral lists this ribosomal RNA (146 nucleotides) under Candidatus Bathyarchaeota archaeon. RNAcentral's name for it is "partial 16S ribosomal RNA". It matches the Rfam family "Archaeal small subunit ribosomal RNA", at positions 1335 to 1478 of the family's 1478-position model. Lineage: Archaea; Thermoproteati; Candidatus Bathyarchaeota. The record is from RNAcentral.
CCUUGCACACACCGCCCGUCGCUCCACCCGAGUGAGGCCUAGAUGAGGCACAGUUUCCUUGGCUGCGUCGAAUCUAGGCUUCGCGAGGGGGGAGAAGUCGUAACAAGGUGGCCGUAGGGGAACCUGCGGCCGGAUCACCUCCUAAG